Molecule: long non-coding RNA, 591 nt
Organism: Talpa occidentalis (Iberian mole)
Lineage: Eukaryota; Metazoa; Chordata; Mammalia; Eulipotyphla; Talpidae
Exons: 3
Source: RefSeq, a predicted model, not a curated record
ACCAGGUAAGCCAGGGUGUUUCCUAGCAGAUACAAUAAGAGCAGAGGACAGUGCUCUGACCUCAAAUGGAAUGAGUCACUCUCUCAACAGAAAUCAUGAACAGCAGUCACCUCCUGCUCUUUGCUAAUUGAAAAUUAAGCUUAUCUUAUAUCAAUAGGCCACAUUAGAAAGAAGGAAUUGAAGGAAAAGCACAAAUCUGGAAAUGAAUUAUUAAUUUAAAUUGAUCAUUUUCAAAUAAAACCACCAGGAAAUAGUUGACAAAGUUGGAAAGACAACUUGAGAGCCAAGAUGAGGGAAACAAAAAUCCAAAUCACAUUGGGAUAUCAUCUCACGCUUGUGGGAAUAGUUCCUAUCAAAAAGACCAGAAACAACAAGUGUUGACAAGAUGUGAAGAAAAAGGAAACCUGUACACUGUUGGUGGGACUGUUGACUGGUUCAACCCCUAAUGGAAAAGAGUCCUGGUGAUGAUCUUAAUAAUUACAGGAUAUGGAAUUAUAGGAGAGUGAGAGAGGAAUGCAACUGAAUUUCGGAGAACUGAUCAUCCAGAAAAGGUUGCAGUGUUUGAUGAAAGUUUAGACCUCCUAAUUUGAG